GGGCCCGCACAAGCGGAGGAACAUGUGGUUUAAUUCGAUGAUACGCGAGGAACCUUACCCGGGCUCGAACGGCAUAUGAAGGCAGCAGAGAUGCGGCCGCCCCUCGGGGCAUAUGUCGAGGUGCUGCAUGGUUGUCGUCAGCUCGUGCCGUGAGGUGUCGGCUCAAGUGCCAUAACGAGCGCAACCCCUGCGUCCAGUUGCCAGCAAGCAGUGUUGGGGACUCUGGACGGACUGCCACCGCAAGGUGAGAGGAGGGGGGGGAUGACGUCAAAUCAGCACGGCCCUUACGUCCGGGGCGACACACGUGUUACAAUGGCGGCCACAGAGGGGCGCUACCCUGCGAAGGGAUGCCAAUCUCAAAAAGCCGUCUCAGUUCGGACUGGAGUCUGCAACCCGACUCCACGAAGCUGGAUUCGCUAGUAAUCGCGCAUCAGCCAUGGCGCGGUGAAUACGUUCCCGGGCCUU
Molecule: ribosomal RNA, 465 nt
Filed under: uncultured bacterium
Lineage: Bacteria
Description: bacterial SSU rRNA
Rfam family: Bacterial small subunit ribosomal RNA
Source: RNAcentral